This 3423-nucleotide long non-coding RNA is filed under the name Fukomys damarensis (Damara mole-rat). Its description in RNAcentral is "lncRNA (ENSFDAG00000021954.1)". Lineage: Eukaryota; Metazoa; Chordata; Mammalia; Rodentia; Bathyergidae. The record is from RNAcentral.
UUCCCCUCUCUCUUCUUCUCAGCUCAAUAUCUUCUGGACACUGAGGGAGAUGAGGAGAAAACAUGGCCCUGUGGAGGUUCCUCGGAGGAGGUAAUGCUGUUCCAGCAUGCAGUGCAAUCUUACCUGUGAACUUGAGACUUGCCUCUCAAGUGUAUGUAUCCUUAAUUAGAACCCAGGAUUCCUCAAUGUCCCCAUGGCAGUGGCCCUGAGUGGCCCUCCAGUCUCUAUUCUUUUCUUUUUUCCUGGGAUACAGCCCUUUGUAAUUGAUCUUAAUAAAAUACUACAUUUUUCCAUCUUCCCUAGUAGCUACGUGGGCCAUGUGGCUAUGUUCUGGCCAAUAAGAUAUAAGUGGAAAUAUUGUGGACAACAACUUCUGGGAUAUGUUCUUAGGAUAUGCUUUUCUCUUCUUCCAGUUGUCUGGAACACAGAUGUGAUAGUUGGCUCCCAAGCAGCCAUCAUGUACCCUGUCAAAAGAAGAGUGGAAUACCAAAAACUGAAGGAGCCUCAGUGUGUGAUAACUUACAUGCCAGUCCUGGAGUGUCUGUCUCCAGAUCUCAGGUGCGUGUGUGUGUGUGUCUGUGUCUGUGUCUGUGUGUGCGUGAGAGAGAGAGAGAAAGAGAGACAGAGAGAGGGAGAGAGAAAGAGAUAGAGAGAAAGGCUUUUUAGUUUAGUCUGUCAUAUGUUACAGAAACUAAUUUUAACAGAAAAACGCAUAAUUUGGCCAUAGCCCCAAAUGGUAGCAGGUAGAUACUCCGUGGAAGUAUGAAGCACUCCUGUACCUCCCAGAACACCUUCCCCUCCGAUCCCUAUUCUGGGGUCUCACGUCUCCCUUCCACAGCAGACCAGGACAAGCACAGUCUACUCCCUGCUUCCUGCCAUCUGACGUCCUCCGAAUCGCCUGCGUUCAGUGGAACAACUUCAGCUGUGAUGCAGCCCUCACCUUGCUCUCGAUGUUAGGACGCUGGUUGGGACAUCCAGAAGCCCACAGACCUUGUCCCGGGACCAGGAGGACAUUUGGUUUCCACAUAAUCCACGGAUUUCUCUGGCUGUCGUUUGUGCUGAAUUUAUCCAAAUUUGAAUUUAUUCAAAGCCAGCAAUCAGGCAUCCAGCAGAACCAGCUUUCUACUGGCAAGUACUGUACACUACGCCUCGCCUGGCCAGGGGUGAGGGGGUGGCUCUUGGGGCACAGGGGUGGCGAGUAUCAUCUCCGAGGUCAGAUGUACCAAAGGUGCCCUCAGGCCCAGCAGUCUCUCGCUGCCCAGCAGUGUCUGGCCGCCCCUGCUUUGCCUAACACCCAAAACAAGCCAGGCCAAGUCCGCUCUCAGCGAAAACUGAAAGGAAACUCUACUGCAGGCGUAGCCCGAAGUUUCUUUGAAGCAAGUUUGCAACUGAGAUUAUUGACGGCUUUGGGAGGACAGCGGGCUCAUGUGAGCGCUCUCCCGGUGGGGUGGGGUCUAAGAAGGGCACCGGGUGCCCUGUCGUGGCCCUAGGUGAAAACACUAGGGAAGCCCGCCGCUCCUUCGAAACUCUUCGGCUCUGGAUGGUAAAAAGAAAGAAAGUUUCCAAGCUACCACGGACAACCUGCAUGGAUCUCGCUAGGGGGGCAACGGGAGGGGGCUGGCUUUGGAAAAGUUGCUGAAAGCCCUGCUCAGAAACGUCACCCUAUGAAACUCAAAAAAACUUAGGACCAGUUUGCCUUCCUUGAGACAGAGUGGUCAGGAAUCAGGCUGGGCAGCCCUCUGCCCACUUCUCAACCCUCACCUCUAGCAAGAGGUCAAAGAACCACCACCGCCAGCGUUGCAAACUUUCAGCUCUGCGCUGCCAACCGCGAACAAGGCCUGGACACAGAGGGAUGGGAGAGACCACCCCCGGCAGGAUGGGAGGAUGAGCGCGGUUCCCCCUAGUUUGUUCCGGGCCCCAGAGUCCAUCCCCCAACCCUAGGCAUUCGGCGCUUUUCCCGGGAGCUGCGGAUUGGGGAGCCUGGUGAGGGGCGCAAAGUGCACGCGCGGACUGGCGCGGGGGCGGCUGCUCGUCAGGCUGCUCGUCUCGCCGCGGGGCCUGUCGCCGGGCUGGCCGCGGCGGGUGAGUGAUGAGGGCAGAGAAGGGCGCCCAUAAAUCGUGGGUGUCAGGGCGAAAAACUCUCUUUAUUGUCUGCGUGAUGGAUGGGCCCGGGGACGAGACACCAAAUACUUCGUAUCGCCUUUAAAUGGGAACACAUUUUCCGCGGCCAUAAUUCAUGUUUUUUAAAUAGAAAGUUUGAAAUGUUGCCUAUAUUUCACCGGCCCUGACAUAUUUAUGAAUCGCUCCUUGCAUGCAAAUAUCAUUAUUUAAAGUGCCAGGGAGAGCACGGGGGAGGGGGUAAGGCGCGGCCCCGGGGCGUAGGGGUGGUGAACCGGGGAGAUGUCGGUGGAGGGGGGACAUCUCCCUAAAGGGAAGAGGAUGGAGCGUGGGGGAAAGCCGUGUUUGGAAGCUGAGCGCACCCUGGGGCUUCUCUUCUGCCGCCAGACAGUGCGCUGCCACAGUAGGGUGGUGGGGAGCGCGGUUUGGGGUGCAAAACAAGCCCCAGUCUCCUGCCCCUAGACCAGAAGAUAUUUUGGGUCUCUCUCCAGAGGACUGGAUCCAAACUGAAGCCACCUUUUCCAAGAAGUAAAAAAAAAAAAAAAAAAAAAAAAAAAAAAAAGAAUAAUUUAACAAACGCAAAUAAUAACCCAACAUCUUUCAUGUUCUUUGCUAUUGCAUUGAUUUUAUUGAUUUUCAUUCUGCAAAACUGGGAUUGUGCGCACCCGGACCAGGCGGCAGCCAGAAACCAGUCACCGCAGGGGGUAGGUGGGGGGGAUAAGCCUCGGGUACCACCGCCCCAUCCGCCCCCACCCAGCCGCCUCAACGUCUCCCAGGCACAAUGGAGAUUGCGCAAGACGCGGGACACAGAUGACCCGGCCCCCCAGCUCCGGGGCUUUAGUCCCUCCCCUUCUUUGCCCCAGUGCACCGCAGAGCUUCCAGGGUCCGCAGCUACCCUCCCGGACCCCCUACGGUCAGAAUGAUCGCUUUGGAAAAAAAGCCAAGCCCAGGCCGUCGCUUAUUCCCAGUCAUCCUGCCCUGGAAGCGCCUACACCUGCGCCCUUACUUGCCAAGACUUUACCUGUGCGGUCCCGAGCCGCGCCUGCGGCCGCGCAGAUUACACAAAAAUGGUAGGGAGGGUGGGAGAGUGGGUGGGUCAGAGAGCAACACCCGAGAGGGCCAGAGGCGCGGACCCAGGUGAGUCAGUGUGGACCCGAUGCUGGGGCCCUGGCCCAACCGGUUAGCGGAGCCGAAUUGCACGGGGAAGAUCCGGCUCGAGGAAGGACGAAGGCAACAAGGCUGGGGAAGUAGGGGCGGUCCCAGAGGCACUUCCGCUGGAGGUGGGGCUGCGGACUGAACCGCUGA